RNAcentral lists this ribosomal RNA (216 nucleotides) under Glomeromycotina sp. Its description in RNAcentral is "partial small subunit ribosomal RNA". The stretch from base 40 to 216 matches the Rfam family "Eukaryotic small subunit ribosomal RNA", at positions 686 to 864 of the family's 1831-position model. The record is from RNAcentral. Lineage: Eukaryota; Fungi; Glomeromycota.
GGGUCAGUAGGUUGGUCGUGCCACCGGUACGUACUGGUCUCACUGAUUCCUCCUUCCUGAAGAACCGUAAUGCCAUUAAUUUGGUGUUGCGGGGAAACAGGACUGUUACUUUGAAAAAAUUAGAGUGUUUAAAGCAAGCUAACGCUUGAAUACAUUAGCAUGGAGUAAUGAAAUAGGACGAUCGAUCCUAUUUUGUUGGUUUCUAGGAUUGACGUG